This 265-nucleotide long non-coding RNA is filed under the name Equus caballus (horse). RNAcentral describes it as "lncRNA (ENSECAG00000052065.1)". Lineage: Eukaryota; Metazoa; Chordata; Mammalia; Perissodactyla; Equidae. The record is from RNAcentral.
AGCCUACACUGGACAUGUGGAUGUUGAGUGAUAGAGGAUGGACAGCAAAAAAAACUCCAAACCCGCUGGACCAAGGCACCUGCCCACGAGUGGAUCCUAAAGGACUUGCAUCAGCCGUGAGUUUGGACACUGGAGCAUCUUUGGGGCCACAGCUACAGCAGGAAGGGCUGGGGCUAGACAUUCGGAGCGCCUUCCAAGCGUGAGGGAGGAGGAGUGCUGCGGAGUGGAGCAGGAGGCCGAGGAAGAGAUGUGCGAGCCUACGUGC